RNAcentral lists this transfer RNA (89 nucleotides) under bacterium HR32. RNAcentral's name for it is "tRNA-Arg". The record is from RNAcentral.
GCUGGUCUGGUUCGCGGAGUGCGCGGCCCUUCGCCGGCCGCCGUGGGAGCGCACGCCCGUCGACGGGAUCUUGGCCCUGUGGGUCGGCU